RNAcentral lists this ribosomal RNA (852 nucleotides) under uncultured bacterium. RNAcentral's name for it is "bacterial SSU rRNA". It matches the Rfam family "Bacterial small subunit ribosomal RNA", at positions 39 to 883 of the family's 1533-position model. The record is from RNAcentral.
GCUACAGGCUUAACACAUGCAAGUCGAGGGGCAGCGGGAUUGAAGCUUGCUUCAAUUGCCGGCGACCGGCGCACGGGUGAGUAACGCGUAUCCAACCUUCCGUACACUCAGGGAUAGCCUUUCGAAAGAAAGAUUAAUACCUGAUGGUAUGAUGAGAUUGCAUGAUAGCAUCAUUAAAGAUUUAUCGGUGUACGAUGGGGAUGCGUUCCAUUAGGUAGUAGGCGGGGUAACGGCCCACCUAGCCAACGAUGGAUAGGGGUUCUGAGAGGAAGGUCCCCCACAUUGGAACUGAGACACGGUCCAAACUCCUACGGGAGGCAGCAGUGAGGAAUAUUGGUCAAUGGACGAGAGUCUGAACCAGCCAAGUAGCGUGAAGGAUGAAGGUCCUACGGAUUGUAAACUUCUUUUAUAAGGGAAUAAACCCUCCCACGUGUGGGAGCUUGUAUGUACCUUAUGAAUAAGCAUCGGCUAACUCCGUGCCAGCAGCCGCGGUAAUACGGAGGAUGCGAGCGUUAUCCGGAUUUAUUGGGUUUAAAGGGAGCGCAGACGGGUCGUUAAGUCAGCUGUGAAAGUUUGGGGCUCAACCUUAAAAUUGCAGUUGAUACUGGCGUCCUUGAGUGCGGUUGAGGUGUGCGGAAUUCGUGGUGUAGCGGUGAAAUGCUUAGAUAUCACGAAGAACUCCGAUUGCGAAGGCAGCACACUAAUCCGUAACUGACGUUCAUGCUCGAAAGUGUGGGUAUCAAACAGGAUUAGAUACCCUGGUAGUCCACACGGUAAACGAUGGAUACUCGCUGUUGGCGAUAUACUGUCAGCGGCUUAGCGAAAGCGUUAAGUAUCCCACCUGGGGAGUAC